GGACAACAGGUUAAUAUUCCUGUACUGAGUAAAAUGUGAUGGAGUGACGGAGAAGGAUAGUCUUACCACUUACUGGAUUGUGGGGUAAGUAUCAACUGGGCGUUGUAGGCAAAUCCGCAGCGCUUAACCGGGAGAUGCGAUGCAUAGUGAAAGGGUAACCAAGUAGCAAAUUAGAUGAUUUCAUGCUUCUUAAAAAAGCUUCUAACUACAAAUUUUAUGAACCCGUACCGAGAACGAACACACGUCCCCAAGAUGAGUAUUCUAAGGCGAGCGAGAAAACCAAUGUUAAGGAACUCUGCAAAUUAACCCCGUAAGUUAGCGAGAAGGGGUGCCUAUGGUAACACAUAGGCCGCAGUGAAGAGUAAGGGGGAACUGUUUACCAAAAACACAGCUCUAUGCUAAGUCGCAAGACGAUGUAUAUGGGGUGACUCCUGCCCAGUGCCCGAAGGUUAAGCAAAGGCGUUAGCAAUGCGAAGCGUUGAUGUGAAGCCCGGGUGAACGGCGGCCGUAACUAUAACGGUCCUAAGGUAGCGAAAUUCCUUGUCGGCUAAAUACUGACCUGCACGAAAGGAGUAAUUAUCUCUUAACUGUCUCAACAUUGGACUCGGUGAAAUUAUGGUUGCGGCGAAGACGCCGCAUACCCGCAUCUAGACGAAAAGACCCCGUGGAGCUUUACUAUAACUUCAUAUUGGAGUUUGAUUUAACUUGUGUAGGAUAGGUGGGAGACUUUGAAGUAAGGACGCUAGUCCCUAUGGAGUCGACGUUGAAAUACCACCCUUCUUACAUUGAACUUCUAACUUGUUGCCAUUAUCUGGCAAGAUGACAGUGUGUGGUGGGUAGUUUGACUGGGGCGGUCGCCUCCCAAAGGGUAACGGAGGCGUUCAAAGUUACACUCAGUACGGUCAGAAACCGUAUUAAAGAGCAUAAAGGUAGAAGUGUGAUUGACUGUGAGACUUACAAGUCGAGCAGGUGCGAAAGCAGGACUUAGUGAUCCGGCGGUUCUUCGUGGAAAGGCCGUCGCUCAACGGAUAAAAGCUACCCCGGGGAUAACAGGCUUAUCUUUCCCAAGAGAUCACAUCGACGGGAAGGUUUGGCACCUCGAUGUCGGCUCAUCGCAUCCUGGAGCUGGAGUCGGUUCCAAGGGUUCGCCUGUUCGGCGAUUAAAGCGGUACGCGAGCUGGGUUCAAAACGUCGUGAGACAGUUUGGUUCCUAUCUGAUGUGGGCGUUGGAAUAUUGAUGAGAGCUGUCCUUAGUACGAGAGGACCAGGAUGGACAAACCGAUGGU
RNAcentral lists this ribosomal RNA (1286 nucleotides) under Chlamydia abortus. RNAcentral describes it as "bacterial LSU rRNA". It matches the Rfam family "Bacterial large subunit ribosomal RNA", at positions 1420 to 2713 of the family's 2925-position model. The record is from RNAcentral. Lineage: Bacteria; Pseudomonadati; Chlamydiota; Chlamydiia; Chlamydiales; Chlamydiaceae.